UUCGGAUAUUGGAUUGGUUAUCG
Molecule: small nuclear RNA, 23 nt
Filed under: Arabidopsis thaliana (thale cress)
Lineage: Eukaryota; Viridiplantae; Streptophyta; Magnoliopsida; Brassicales; Brassicaceae
Description: snRNA_15122
Source: RNAcentral